This is a non-coding RNA of Ciona intestinalis (vase tunicate), 743 nucleotides long. The record is from RefSeq and is a predicted model, not a curated record. Lineage: Eukaryota; Metazoa; Chordata; Ascidiacea; Phlebobranchia; Cionidae.
CACCUGGGAUUUAAAAGUAGCGGCGCUAAAAUUUAGAAGCCGUGGCACUAAAGCCGCGGCUAAACAUCUGUCGUGGCACCUGGGAUUUAAAAUUGUGGCGCUAAAAUUUAGAAGCCGUGGCACUAAAGCCGCAGCUAAAUAUUUGUCGUGGCACCUUGAAUUUAAAAGUAGCGGCGCUAAAAUUUAGAAGCCGUGGCACUAAAGAUCUGCCGUGGCACCUAGAAUUAUGACUAGUCGUUUCUUAUGGCUUCCAGUUUAACAUGCCAAAUAAAUGGAUCAGAUUGUUUACCAAAUUUAAAAUCAAGCAUAGUGAAACUAUGCUGAAAGCAGAACUAUAUUAUAAUUUCUCCGGAAUCCGGAUUAACGCAUUUGUUUAAAAAAAAAAUUUUUUUUAUUUGAAAGAAGUUUUGCUAAACACCAAGAAGUAAACAAGAAAGAAACUUUUACACCAAAUUGAAACACCGUAUUAUAGUGUGAACAUUUUACGAAACCAGAUUGGAUUUGAGGCAGAUUUCUAAUGGUAUUUCAGCAAGUGCAUCAAUGUUCGUGAAAACUCCUUCAAACAUGUUGUCACAAUAGAACAAUGGAAAUGUCCUGUUUGUCUUCUUCGUACUGCGUGUGAAAAUAAUCAAUCAACGUCGAGUCAAAGUUAUAAUAAAAAUGUUUGGUUGCCUCUAUGAGUCACAUCUCAUACACUGGUGCUAUUAAUAACUGUCUGUUAUUAAAUUUUAAAGGAAAAUAAU